Molecule: ribosomal RNA, 435 nt
Filed under: Triticum aestivum (bread wheat)
Lineage: Eukaryota; Viridiplantae; Streptophyta; Magnoliopsida; Poales; Poaceae
Description: partial small subunit ribosomal RNA
Source: RNAcentral
AUGAUGGUGGGGUCCGACCAGAUCAGCGAAUUCUGCAGGGCGCUCGGGGGCGACACGCCGAUACGCAGCGUGCUGGUCGCCAACAAUGGGAUGGCCGCCGUCAAGUUCAUGCGCAGCAUCCGCGCCUGGGCCUCCGAGACCUUUGGCACCGACAAGGCCGUCCUCCUGGUGGCCAUGGCUACCCCGGAGGAUCUCCGGGCCAAUGCGGAGCACGUGCGGAUCGCCGACCAGUUCCUGGAGGUCCCUGGUGGAACCAAUAACAACAAUUAUGCAAAUGUGCAGCUCAUUGUCGAGAUAGCAGAGAGGACCCGGGUUUCUGCAGUUUGGCCUGGCUGGGGUCAUGCCUCUGAGGACCCAGAGCUUCCGGACGCGCUGGAGGACCUUGUAAAUCUAUUUUUGAUAUUAAUAUGGAGGUUUACGGGAACUAACUUUUGA